AGACAAAAAAUGCCGAAUCCUGGAGCAGCAAAAGCUCUGGUACGGGGGACUUCUUUACUUGGGGUGAAUGAAUGCUCAGCUGUUUUAAUAAACUGAGCGCGCUAGGGAAACCUCUUCCCGAACCCGUCAACUAACCUCGGAGGCUUCAAGGAGGAACAAU
Molecule: small RNA, 160 nt
Filed under: Paenibacillus sp.
Lineage: Bacteria; Bacillati; Bacillota; Bacilli; Caryophanales; Paenibacillaceae
Description: c-di-AMP sequence
Rfam family: c-di-AMP riboswitch aptamer (ydaO/yuaA leader)
About the family: This family represents a conserved RNA structure found upstream of the ydaO and yuaA genes in Bacillus subtilis and related genes in other bacteria. The ydaO/yuaA element is thought to act as a genetic "off" switch for the ydaO and yuaA genes in its native state.
Source: RNAcentral